UGCCAGCAGCCGCGGUAAUACGGAGGGGGUUAGCGUUGUUCGGAAUUACUGGGCGUAAAGCGUAACGUAGGCGGAUUAAUAAGUUAGAGGUGAAAUCCCAGGGCUCAACCCUGGAACUGCCUUUAAAACUGUUAGUCUUGAGAUCGAGAGAGGUGAGUGGAAUUCCAAGUGUAGAGGUGAAAUUCGUAGAUAUUUGGAGGAACACCAGUGGCGAAGGCGGCUCACUGGCUCGAUACUGACGCUGGGGUACCAAAGGGGGGGGAGCAAACAGGGUUAGAAA
This 280-nucleotide ribosomal RNA is filed under the name uncultured bacterium. Its description in RNAcentral is "partial 16S ribosomal RNA". It matches the Rfam family "Bacterial small subunit ribosomal RNA", at positions 506 to 784 of the family's 1533-position model. The record is from RNAcentral.